Molecule: long non-coding RNA, 83 nt
Organism: Diprion similis
Lineage: Eukaryota; Metazoa; Arthropoda; Insecta; Hymenoptera; Diprionidae
Exons: 3
Source: RefSeq, a predicted model, not a curated record
AGCAACAAAAACUUGCGCCAGAAGCGCUAGUAACUUUCAGUGAAUUGCUGCUGCAGCUGCUUCUGGGUACCCAAGAAAUGUGU